AGCGAACGCUGGCGGCAGGCUUAACACAUGCAAGUCGAGCGCCCGUAGCAAUACGGGAGCGGCAGACGGGAGAGUAACACGUGGGAACGUACCCUUCAGUUCGGAACAACCAAGGGAAACUUUGGCUAAUACCGAAUACGUCCGUAAGGAGAAAGAUUUAUCGCUGAAGGAUCGGCCCGCGUCUGAUUAGCUAGUUGGUGAGGUAAUGGCUCACCAAGGCGACGAUCAGUAGCNGGUCUGAGAGGAUGAUCAGCCUCAUUGGGACUGAGACACGGCCCAAACUCCUACGGGAGGCAGCAGUGGGAAUAUUGGACAAUGGGCGCAAGCCUGAUCCAGCCAUGCCGCGUGAGUGAUGAAGGCCUUAGGGUUGUAAAGCUCUUUCGGCGGGGAAGAUAAUGACGGUACCCGCAGAAGAA
RNAcentral lists this ribosomal RNA (416 nucleotides) under uncultured bacterium. RNAcentral's name for it is "bacterial SSU rRNA". It matches the Rfam family "Bacterial small subunit ribosomal RNA", at positions 29 to 489 of the family's 1533-position model. The record is from RNAcentral.